Molecule: ribosomal RNA, 253 nt
Filed under: uncultured bacterium
Lineage: Bacteria
Description: partial 16S ribosomal RNA
Rfam family: Bacterial small subunit ribosomal RNA
Source: RNAcentral
UACGGGGGGGGCAAGCGUUGUUCGGAAUUACUGGGCGUAAAGGGCGCGUAGGCGGCCCGUUAAGUCGAACGUGAAAUCCCCAGGCUCAACCUGGGAACUGCGUCCGAUACUGGCGGGCUUGAAUCCGGGAGAGGGAUGCGGAAUUCCAGGUGUAGCGGUGAAAUGCGUAGAUAUCUGGAGGAACACCGGUGGCGAAGGCGGCAUCCUGGACCGGCAUUGACGCUGAGGCGCGAAAGCCAGGGGAGCAAACGAG